UUUCGACCUCAGCUCGGGCGUGCGUACCCGCUGAACUUAAGCAUAUCAGUAAGCGGAGGAAAAGAAACUAAAAAGGAUUCCCUUAGUAACUGCGAGUGAAGAGGGAAAAGCCCAGCACCGAAUCCCUCGGCGUAAAUGCUGACGGGAAGUGUGGUGUUAAGAGUGAUUUCUGUUCAUUGUUGUCUUUAUCAAGUUCUCUUGAUCGUGGCUUGAUGGCCCAUAGUGGGUGUCAGGCCUUUAGUGUAAAGACGAUGGUGGACAUGAAUCACUCGAAGAGUCGGGUUGUUUGUGAGUACAACCCAAAGCAGGUGGUAAACUCCAUCUAAGGCUAAAUAUGAGUACGAGUCCGAUAGCAAACAAGUACCGUGAGGGAAAGUUGCAAAGAACUUUGAAGAGAGAGUUCAAGAGUACGUGAAACCGCUAGGAGGGAAGCAGGUGAAGCCACAUGGUUGCCGUAGGAAUUCAGCUGUUCGCGUUCGCUAGCUGUAUUUGAGUCGCAGGCACUGAGAGGUGUUUGGGCUUGGGUGCAGUUUAGUGGAUUAGGAGCGGCGCAUUUUCUUGCGUGCAAUGAGCCACGAGCGGUUGAAGAACCUCUAGCUUAGAGUGUCUACGUAGAGCAACAGCCGAUGUUCUGUUUCGGUUUCGUUUGUUUUAGUAGCGCUCGAAAUAGCACAUGUUCUUCGAUCGAAGCAGCAGUUCACAGCUGAGGCGGCUUAAGCCACUUGGCGGGGCUAGCUGUGCAUUCGAGUUUGCUUGUGUUAUUUUGGUACUGCAUUGCAGUGCUGGGUAGCAUUGGGUUUACUCUCGUAGUGCACGCUUGCCUGAGAGCUUUUUUACGUCGCUGCUUAGUGACCGGCUGGCCACUCACCUGUCCCGUCUUGAAACACGGACCAAGGAGUUUAUCAUGCAGGCGAGUCUGAGGGUGUAGCAAAACCCGAAGGCGAAGCGAAAGCAAAGUCUGCCCUUGUGGUGGAUGUGAUGUGAUCCUGGCAAGGUGAGAGCCUACCGGGCGCAACAUCGUCUCGUCGUAUCCUCGUUGAGGUGCGGCGACGACAUAGCCUGCAUGAUGAGACCCGAAAGAUGGUGAACUAUGCCAGAGCAGGGUGAAUCCAGAGGAAACUCUGGUGGAAGCCUGAAGCGAUUCUAACGUGCAAAUUGAUCGUCUGACUCUGGUAUAGGGGCGAAAGACCAAUCGAACCAUCUAGUAGCUGGUUCCCUCCGAAGUUUCCCUCAGGAUAGCUGGCACUCGGAGAGCAGUAAUACCCGGUAAAGCGAAUGAUUAGAGUGUUCCGGGUUGAAACGACCUAAACCUAUUCUCAAACUUUAAAUGGGUAUGACAAUUGGCUCGCUUGAUUUUGGAGUCAAUGUAGUGCAUGCUUGUAGUGCCAAGUGGGCCAAUUUUGGUAAGCAGAACUGGCGCUGUGGGAUGAACCAAACGUCUGGUUAAGGUGCCUAACACAAACGCUCAUGAGAAACCACAAAAGGUGUUGGUUGAUAGAGACAGCAGGACGGUGGUCAUGGAAGUUGACAUCCGCUAAGGAGUGUGUAACAACUCACCUGCCGAAUCAACCAGCCCUGAAAAUGGAUAGCGCUAGAGCGUUGGACCUAUACCGGACCGUCAGAGUAGAUUUAAAGUAGACUCUGACGAGUAGGAGGGCGCUGUGGUCAGCGUAGAAGCCUAGGACGUGAGUCCGGGUGGAGCGGCCACAGGAGCAGAUCUUGGUGGUAGUAGCAAGUAUUCAAGUGAGAACCUUGAAGACUGAUGUGUGGAGAAGGGUUCCAUGUGAACAGCAGUUGCACAUGGGUCAGUCGGUCCUAAGAGAUGGGUUAACUCCGCCUGAGGUGAGGGAGUGAUCAUACUGUCCGACACUCUAUCCUAUCUCGAAAGGGAAUCAGGUUAAUAUUCCUGAACCUGCUCACGGAGAUCGUUCUCGCAAGGGAACUCGUGCGGUAACGCAAGCUCUCUCGGAGAGGUCGGUGGUAGUCCCGGGAAGAGUUAUCUCUUCUUUGUAAGUAUCCGUGUUCCAUGGAAACGGCUUUGCCGGAGAUAUGGACGUUAGGGUACGUAAAGCAUCGCGUUUUACGCGGUGUCCGGUGCACUAUUAUCGGUCCGUGAAAAUCCGAGUGUGGCAUUGAUUUUCGUGGCAGACCGUACCCAUAUCCGCAACAGGUCUCCAAGGUGCUCAGCCUCUAGUCUCUAGAACAAUGUAGGUAAGGGAAGUCGGCAAAUUUGAUCCGUAAGUUCGCGAAAAGGAUUGGCUCUGAGGACUGGGCUGAUCGGGAUGUUUCAUUAAGCUGUGAGGGGAGCGGUUAGAGUUGUCGAGUCGGUUUCCAGCAAUGGUUACUUGCCUUGGUGACUUUGACUUGUGACCUUCCAGUAGCGUGUUGCAUCUAUGCGGCCGUUGUUCUGUGGCGGUUCGCGUCGGUCAGUGCUAAACAGUUGACUCAGAACUUGCAAGGACCAGGGGAAUCCGACUGUAUAAUUAAAACAAAGCAUUGCGAAGGCUCGCUAGAGUGCUUGCGCAAUGUGAUUUCUGCCCAGUGCCAUGAAUGUCAAAGUGAAGAAAUUCAACGAAGCGCUGGUAAACGGCGGGAGUAACUAUGACUCUCUUAAGGUAGCCAAAUGCCUCGUCAUCUAAUUAGUGACGCGCAUGAAUGGAUC
RNAcentral lists this ribosomal RNA (2662 nucleotides) under groundwater metagenome. RNAcentral describes it as "eukaryotic LSU rRNA". It matches the Rfam family "Eukaryotic large subunit ribosomal RNA", at positions 1 to 2325 of the family's 3401-position model. The record is from RNAcentral.